UUUCCGUAGGUGAACCUGCGGAAGGAUCAUUACAGUGUUCCCUGCCUUUCGGGGUAGGAUCGCCACCCUUGAUUAUUUAUGAGUGUUGCUUUGGCGGGCCUCGCGGCCUGGCCGCGCCCCGGCUUCGGCGGGGGAGCGCCCGACAGAGGAUUCUACAAACCUGAUUAUUAGUGUCGUCUGAGUACUAUAUAAUAGUUAAAACUUUCAACAACGGAUCUCUUGGUUCUG
RNAcentral lists this unclassified non-coding RNA (228 nucleotides) under plant metagenome. RNAcentral's name for it is "partial contains small subunit ribosomal RNA, internal transcribed spacer 1, and 5.8S ribosomal RNA". The record is from RNAcentral.